This 200-nucleotide long non-coding RNA is filed under the name Elaeis guineensis (African oil palm). RNAcentral's name for it is "long non-coding RNA (EGUI_LNC059872)". Lineage: Eukaryota; Viridiplantae; Streptophyta; Magnoliopsida; Arecales; Arecaceae. The record is from RNAcentral.
CCCCAGCACUUGGUACCUUAAUUUUCUUCUUCUUCUUCUUCCCUUUCUUAAAGGGAUGAUACCCGUGCAAGGAAAUGACUGAGAAACAAUAAGUAGGACUUCGGUAGGAAAAUCAAAAUCACAUCUUUCCCAAGCUACUUGUACAAGAAAAAGUAGAGAUUGCUGAGGUGCUCGAUCUGUUCGAUCAUAUACAAUGUAUG